GACACAUUUGAACAUCGACAUUUCGAACGCACAUUGCGGUCCGUGGAGAAACAUCCAGGACCACUCCUGUCUGAGGGCCG
Molecule: ribosomal RNA, 80 nt
Filed under: Polyommatus icarus (common blue)
Lineage: Eukaryota; Metazoa; Arthropoda; Insecta; Lepidoptera; Lycaenidae
Description: partial 5.8S ribosomal RNA
Source: RNAcentral